RNAcentral lists this ribosomal RNA (1445 nucleotides) under uncultured organism. RNAcentral's name for it is "SSU rRNA". It matches the Rfam family "Bacterial small subunit ribosomal RNA". The record is from RNAcentral.
UCAGGAUGAACGCUAGCUACAGGCUUAACACAUGCAAGUCGAGGGGCAUCAGGAAGAAAGCUUGCUUUCUUUGCUGGCGACCGGCGCACGGGUGAGUAACACGUAUCCAACCUGCCCUUUACUCGGGGAUAGCCUUUCGAAAGAAAGAUUAAUACCCGAUAGCAUAAUGAUUCCGCAUGGUUUCAUUAUUAAAGGAUUCCGGUAAAGGAUGGGGAUGCGUUCCAUUAGGUUGUUGGUGAGGUAACGGCCCACCAAGCCUUCGAUGGAUAGGGGUUCUGAGAGGAAGGUCCCCCACAUUGGAACUGAGACACGGUCCAAACUCCCACGGGAGGCAGCAGUGAGGAAUAUUGGUCAAUGGGCGCUAGCCUGAACCAGCCAAGUAGCGUGAAGGAUGAAGGCUCUAUGGGUCGUAAACUUCUUUUAUAUAAGAAUAAAGUGCAGUAUGUAUACUGUUUUGUAUGUAUUAUAUGAAUAAGGAUCGGCUAACUCCGUGCCAGCAGCCGCGGUAAUACGGAGGAUCCGAGCGUUAUCCGGAUUUAUUGGGUUUAAAGGGAGCGUAGGUGGACUGGUAAGUCAGUUGUGAAAGUUUGCGGCUCAACCGUAAAAUUGCAGUUGAUACUGUCAGUCUUGAGUACAGUAGAGGUGGGCGGAAUUCGUGGUGUAGCGGUGAAAUGCUUAGAUAUCACGAAGAACUCCGAUUGCGAAGGCAGCUCACUGGACUGCAACUGACACUGAUGCUCGAAAGUGUGGGUAUCAAACAGGAUUAGAUACCCUGGUAGUCCACACAGUAAACGAUGAAUACUCGCUGUUUGCGAUAUACAGUAAGCGGCCAAGCGAAAGCAUUAAGUAUUCCACCUGGGGAGUACGCCGGCAACGGUGAAACUCAAGGGAAUUGACGGGGGCCCGCACAAGCGGAGGAACAUGUGGUUUAAUUCGAUGAUACGCGAGGAACCUUACCCGGGCUUAAAUUGCAGUGGAAUGAUGUGGAAACAUGUCAGUGAGCAAUCACCGCUGUGAAGGUGCUGCAUGGUUGUCGUCAGCUCGUGCCGUGAGGUGUCGGCUUAAGUGCCAUAACGAGCGCAACCCUUAUCUUUAGUUACUAACAGGUUAUGCUGAGGACUCUGGAGAGACUGCCGUCGUAAGAUGUGAGGAAGGUGGGGAUGACGUCAAAUCAGCACGGCCCUUACGUCCGGGGCUACACACGUGUUACAAUGGGGGGUACAGAAGGCAGCUACCUGGCGACAGGAUGCUAAUCCCAAAAACCUCUCUCAGUUCGGAUCGAAGUCUGCAACCCGACUUCGUGAAGCUGGAUUCGCUAGUAAUCGCGCAUCAGCCAUGGCGCGGUGAAUACGUUCCCGGGCCUUGUACACACCGCCCGUCAAGCCAUGAAAGCCGGGGGUACCUGAAGUACGUAACCGCAAGGAGCGUCCUAGGGUAAAACUGGU